This 2729-nucleotide long non-coding RNA is filed under the name Phasianus colchicus (ring-necked pheasant). RNAcentral's name for it is "lncRNA (ENSPCLG00000013912.1)". Lineage: Eukaryota; Metazoa; Chordata; Aves; Galliformes; Phasianidae. The record is from RNAcentral.
GAUCUCAGGAUGAGGACCAGCAGCCCAGCACUGGCCUUACAUCACCAGGAUGAGGACAGCAGCCCAGCACUGGCCUCAGAUCACACUGGGACCCUCAGGAUGAGGACCAGCAGCCCAGCACUGGCCUUACAUCACACUGGGACUCAGAGGAUGAGGAUCAGCAGCCCAGAACUGGCCUUACAUCACACUGGGACCCUCAGGAUGAGGACCAGCAGCCCAGCACUGGCCUUACACAACACUGGGGAUCUCAGGAUGAGGACCAGCAGCCCAGCACUGGCCUUACAUCACACCGUGACCCUCAGGAUGAGGACCAGCAGCCCAGGACCGGCCCUAUUGUUGUGGCUGCUCACCUCCUUGCCGGUCAGGACGUGCCGGGCCAGUUUGACCUUGGCGAAGUUGCCCUUGCCGAUGGUUUUCAGCAGCCUGUAGUUGCCGAUGUGGGGCUGCUCGUCGGCGGAGGUGGCCGAGUUGCGGCCCCGCAGCAUGUUGGGCUUCCCAGCUCCCUUCCCUUCCGCGUGGCCCAGCGCCGGCUGCGGGGGGACACAGAGGGGACACUCAGUUUACAGCCCCCCCCCCCCAGGAGGAGGAGAAGGAAGGAGAAGGGGGUGGAGAGGAGAGGGGGGGGGGUUUGGAGGCAGGCAGGGCUGGGAGCAAAGUCCGGGUGUGCCACACCGCGCCCCGGGCGGACCGGGAGCCGCCCCCGAUACCUGACGCAAGCGGGGUGGUUUCGGGCUCCCUAAGGACAGGGAGGAAGGGAUUUGCCCCACGCUGUCAGCUGUGGGGUUGUGGGGAAAUGGAGGGAGGGGUUCUGACCCGCAGGAGGGGGAAAACAGGGUGGGAUUUGGGGUUAAACGGAGACCUGCGCUGCGCGCAGCUCCGGAGCGGUGAUGCCAAAACUUUCAUGGCUGGCUCCAAAGCAGGGGUGGCUCCAAACCCCCACAUUCAGCCCCAAAUCCCCACAUCCAGCCCCAAAACGGGGAUGACUCCAAACCCCCACAUCCAGUCCCAAAUCUCCACAUCCAGCCCCAAAACAGGGAUGUCUCCAGACCCCCACAUCCAGCCCCAAAUCUCCACAUCCAGCCCCAAAAUGGGGAUGUCUCCAAAAACCCAAAACCAGCCCCAAAACUGGGAUGUCUCCAAAUCUCCACAUCCAGCCCCAAAACUGGGAUGUCUCCAAAAACCCAAAACCAGCCUGAAAUCCCCACAUCCAGCACCAAAACAGGGAUGUCUCCAAACCCCCACAUCCAGCCCCAAAACAGAAAUGUCUCCAAAAACCCAAAGCCAGCCCCAAAUCCCCACAUCCAGCCCCAAACCCCCAAAUCCAUCCCCAAAGCGCCCCAUGUACCCAAAUUCAGCCCCAAAGCCCUCAGCCCCAAACCCCGUGCUCCUCCCAGGCUCUAUUUCCACAUCCCACCCCCAAAUCCCCACUUUCUGCCCCCAAAUCCCCACUCCCUGCCCCCAAAUCCCCACUCCCUGCCCCCCAAAACAGCCUCUCCACAUCCCCACGCUCAGCCCCACAGCUCCCAAAGGAGCUGGCUGCUGCCCACCCCAAAUCCCAGCACCCCAUAUCAACACCCCCUUCCCCCCCAGAGAUGGAAAACCCCAAAACAGGGAUGUCUCCAAAAACCCAAAGCCAGCCCCAAAUCCCCACAUCCAGCCCCAAAACCGGGAUGUCUCCAAACCCCCAAAUCCAUCCCCAAACCUCCCAAGGACCCAAGUUCAGCCCUAAAGCCCCGAGCCCCAAACCCUGUGCUCCUCCCAGGCUCUAUUUCCAAAUCCCGUCCCCAAAUCCCCACUUUCUGCCCCCAAAUCCCCACUUCCUGACCCCAAAACAGCCUCUCCACAUCCCCAAGCUCAGCCCCACAGCUCCCAAAGGAGCUGGCUGCUGCCCACCCCAAAUCCCNNNNNNNNNNNNNNNNNNNNNNNNNNNNNNNNNNNNNNNNNNNNNNNNNNNCAAAAAUGGAAACUGAGGUGUUGCUCACCUGGCAAAGCCCAGCACGGCCCCAGGAGCCCCCAGAUGGCCACAAGAAGCCCAGCACAGCUCCAGGAAGCCCCAAAUGGCCCCAAAAACCCUAAGCCAGCCCCAGGAAGCCCCAAAUGGCCCCAGAGAGCCCAGCACGGCCCCAGGAACCCCCAGGUAGCCCCAAAAAGCCCAGCAACAGCCCCAGGAACCUUCAGAUGGCCCCAGGAAACCCCAGGUGGCCACAAGAAGCCCAGCACAGCCCCAGGUAGCACCAGGAAGCCCAGCACAGCCCCCAAGUGGCCUCAAGUGGCCACAAGAAGCCCAGCACAGCCCCAGAGACCCCCAGGUGGCACCAGGAAGCCCAGCACGACCCCAGGAAGCCCCAGGUGGCCACAAGAAGCCCAGCAACACCCCAAAGACCCCCAGGUAGUCCCAGGAAGCCCCAGGUGGCCACAGGAAGACCCAGGAAGCCACAAGCAGCCCAGCACAGCCCCAGAGACCCCCAGGUGGCACCAGGAAACCCCAGGUGGCCACAAGAANNNNNNNNNNGCCACAGGAAGCCCCAGGUGGCCACAGGAAGCCCAGCACAGCCCCAGAGAUCCCCAGGUGGCACCAGGAAACCCCAGGAAGCCACAAGAAGCACCAAAGACCCCCAGGUGGCCACAGGAAGACCCAGGUGGCCACAGGAAGACCAGCACAGCCCCAGAGAUCCCCAGGUGGCACCAGGAAACCCCAGGUGGCCACAAGAAGCCCAGCACGACCCCAG